RNAcentral lists this transfer RNA (91 nucleotides) under Candidatus Yanofskybacteria bacterium RIFCSPHIGHO2_02_FULL_39_10. RNAcentral describes it as "tRNA-Ser". It matches the Rfam family "tRNA". Rfam says of the family: Transfer RNA (tRNA) molecules are approximately 80 nucleotides in length. Their secondary structure includes four short double-helical elements and three loops (D, anti-codon, and T loops). Further hydrogen bonds mediate the characteristic L-shaped molecular structure. tRNAs have two regions of fundamental functional importance: the anti-codon, which is responsible for specific mRNA codon recognition, and the 3' end, to which the tRNAs corresponding amino acid is attached (by aminoacyl-tRNA synthetases). tRNAs cope with the degeneracy of the genetic code in two manners: having more than one tRNA (with a specific anti-codon) for a particular amino acid; and 'wobble' base-pairing, i.e. permitting non-standard base-pairing at the 3rd anti-codon position. Lineage: Bacteria; Candidatus Yanofskyibacteriota. The record is from RNAcentral.
GGUGAGGUACCGAAGUGGUCAUAACGGGGGCGCCUCGAAAGCGUCUUGCCCCGAAAGGGGCCCGUGGGUUCGAAUCCCACCCUCACCGCCA